AUCAAUAAACCUGGUACCACCUGUAUAUUGUGGGUCAAUCUCAGGAGAAUUUGAAGGGAGUUAACUCUGACAAAAACUGAUUGGGACCCCAUCAGCUGGUAAGUGGGCACUCCAACCAAGAUUGCUUUGGAAUUUUUUAUGGGUGUCUGUUCUCUGUAUUGGCAUGAAUGGUCAAGAGCUGUGGAAGUUUGUGUUGCCCAGGAUUUUGCAGCAGAACAUGGAGAAGACAUUAGUCAAUGCUUUCACCCAGACUAGUGCCUCAAACUAGUUGCCAAACAGUUUGAUGUAUCUAGGUACAGGACUCAAACUACAUUAUAUAUAGGUUUUUCAUGUCUUUUCAUGUGGGUAUGUAUAAAUCCAAAAUCAACCUGGGUGGACUGUGAGUUUCGGAAGAGGAAGGCUGGAUGGAGAGAGGCUACUCAAACUUCCCCCCUCUAUGGAUUUCUAUGCUCUAAUCCACCUUCCCUAGCCCCCCCCCACCAUCCAUGUUGAGAAAGAUAUAGGGGUGCAUGUGGCUUCUAAAAAAAAGUCACAUACAGACACAUGAAAAGGAAGAGGGAGAAGAUGUGGAGGCUACGAUUUGUAGGGAAAGGACCUUGAGAAGAUAUGAUAGAGUGAAAGAUACCUUUCCCAAACAUUAAACAGAGUGGGUCACCAAAGUUGCUCCUUUCUCAAGGCACUCUGUCGUCUAGGCCUGGACCCCUACUUGACCAUGCCUAUCAGACAGCCACAACCUAUCUGCUUGCCACUGGAUUCUUGUGCCUCUAGAGUCUAGCCUAGCAUGACUACUGUCCAGCAUCUUGACAAUGACCAAGAUCUGUCCUCAUUUUUUCUUGUUUACCAGGAACAGAGAUCAUUUGCCAUGUAAAUAUUUAUAUCAGGCGUUGUGGCACAAACAUUUCUGACAUCUGUUGAUAAAAGUCAAGACCAACUGAAGGCCCAACAAUGAUUAACCCAUCUUCAUAUCCAUCUUUUAUCAAUAAAAUACAGGAUCUAGCAUGUUUCAGAGAUGAAUAUUAAACAUAAGUCUCAU
Podarcis lilfordi (Lilford's wall lizard) is the source of this 1033-nucleotide non-coding RNA. NCBI's taxonomy places the organism in Eukaryota, Metazoa, Chordata, Lepidosauria, Squamata, Lacertidae. The record is from the annotation of a GenBank genome assembly.